GUAUCCUUAGCUCAGUUGGAUAGAGCAACAGCCUUCUAAGCUGUAGGUCAUGCGUUCGAGCCGCAUAGGAUACACCA
This 77-nucleotide transfer RNA is filed under the name Rickettsiales bacterium. RNAcentral's name for it is "tRNA-Arg". It matches the Rfam family "tRNA". From Rfam's summary of the family: Transfer RNA (tRNA) molecules are approximately 80 nucleotides in length. The record is from RNAcentral. Lineage: Bacteria; Pseudomonadati; Pseudomonadota; Alphaproteobacteria; Rickettsiales.